Molecule: non-coding RNA, 153 nt
Filed under: Stanieria cyanosphaera
Lineage: Bacteria; Bacillati; Cyanobacteriota; Cyanophyceae; Pleurocapsales; Dermocarpellaceae
Also listed under: 1 other name
Source: RNAcentral
AUUUUAUAAUGAUCGAUCGGUUUUGAUGAGGAACAGUCAUCAAACGCAAGGGGGAAAGUUCAGUGUAAAUCUGACGCUGUCCCGCAACUGUGAUGAGGUUUGCUUUAUUGAUAAUCUCUUAGUCAGGAUGCCCGCCGAUUUAUAGUUAUCAGA